Molecule: ribosomal RNA, 578 nt
Filed under: Limosilactobacillus fermentum
Lineage: Bacteria; Bacillati; Bacillota; Bacilli; Lactobacillales; Lactobacillaceae
Description: bacterial SSU rRNA
Rfam family: Bacterial small subunit ribosomal RNA
Source: RNAcentral
CGGGUGAGUAACACGUAGGUAACCUGCCCAGAAGCGGGGGACAACAUUUGGAAACAGAUGCUAAUACCGCAUAACAACGUUGUUCGCAUGAACAACGCUUAAAAGAUGGCUUCUCGCUAUCACUUCUGGAUGGACCUGCGGUGCAUUAGCUUGUUGGUGGGGUAAUGGCCUACCAAGGCGAUGAUGCAUAGCCGAGUUGAGAGACUGAUCGGCCACAAUGGGACUGAGACACGGCCCAUACUCCUACGGGAGGCAGCAGUAGGGAAUCUUCCACAAUGGGCGCAAGCCUGAUGGAGCAACACCGCGUGAGUGAAGAAGGGUUUCGGCUCGUAAAGCUCUGUUGUUAAAGAAGAACACGUAUGAGAGUAACUGUUCAUACGUUGACGGUAUUUAACCAGAAAGUCACGGCUAACUACGUGCCAGCAGCCGCGGUAAUACGUAGGUGGCAAGCGUUAUCCGGAUUUAUUGGGCGUAAAGAGAGUGCAGGCGGUUUUCUAAGUCUGAUGUGAAAGCCUUCGGCUUAACCGGAGAAGUGCAUCGGAAACUGGAUAACUUGAGUGCAGAAGAGGGUAGUGGAA